GUGAAUCAUCGAAUUUUUGAACGCAAAUUGCACUCUCUUCUGAGAGUAUGCCUGAUUGAUGUUCAGCCGAAAAAAAAUCGAAAUUGUUGCUGUUUUAUGGUGACUUUCGUCGGAGAUGGGUUAGCUUAAAUCUCGGUUUAAGCGACUUAAAAAUUUUUUUUACGAUCCUAAGAAUGUUUCUAAGAUUUUUCUUGUACGUUUAAGUUAUCGAAUUUCUUAUUAGACGUGGCCGUCAUAGCCAUUC
RNAcentral lists this unclassified non-coding RNA (244 nucleotides) under Glomeraceae sp. RNAcentral's name for it is "partial contains 5.8S ribosomal RNA and internal transcribed spacer 2". The stretch from base 1 to 65 matches the Rfam family "5.8S ribosomal RNA", at positions 84 to 154 of the family's 154-position model. The record is from RNAcentral. Lineage: Eukaryota; Fungi; Glomeromycota; Glomeromycetes; Glomerales; Glomeraceae.